GCUCAGAUGGUGUAGUUGGUUAUCACGUCAGUCGUGAGUGGAUCCUCAUCUUAACAUUGAAAAUUUUCAACAGUACUAACUAGUCUUCCAGUAACACACUGAAGGUCCUGAGUUCAAGUCUCGGUCUGAGUA
Non-coding RNA from Glonium stellatum, 132 nucleotides. Lineage: Eukaryota; Fungi; Ascomycota; Dothideomycetes; Gloniales; Gloniaceae. The record is from the annotation of a GenBank genome assembly.